AUUGAACGCUGGCGGCAGGCCUAACACAUGCAAGUCGAACGGUAACAGGAAGCAGCUUGCUGCUUCGCUGACGAGUGGCGGACGGGUGAGUAAUGUCUGGGAAGCUGCCUGAUGGAGGGGGAUAACUACUGGAAACGGUAGCUAAUACCGCAUAAUGUCGCAGGACCAAAGAGGGGGACCUUCGGGCCUCUUGCCAUCGGAUGUGCCCAGAUGGGAUUAGCUUGUUGGUGGGGUAACGGCUCACCAAGGCGACGAUCCCUAGCUGGUCUGAGAGGAUGACCAGCCACACUGGAACUGAGACACGGUCCAGACUCCUACGGGAGGCAGCAGUGGGGAAUAUUGCACAAUGGGCGCAAGCCUGAUGCAGCCAUGCCGCGUGUAUGAAGAAGGCCUUCGGGUUGUAAAGUACUUUCAGCGGGGAGGAAGGGAGUAAAGUUAAUACCUUUGCCCAUUGACGUUACCCGCAGAAGAAGCACCGGCUAACUCCGUG
RNAcentral lists this ribosomal RNA (490 nucleotides) under uncultured bacterium. RNAcentral describes it as "partial 16S ribosomal RNA". It matches the Rfam family "Bacterial small subunit ribosomal RNA", at positions 30 to 507 of the family's 1533-position model. The record is from RNAcentral.